This 62-nucleotide microRNA precursor is filed under the name Tribolium castaneum (red flour beetle). RNAcentral describes it as "Tca-Mir-317_pre stem-loop". Lineage: Eukaryota; Metazoa; Arthropoda; Insecta; Coleoptera; Tenebrionidae. The record is from RNAcentral.
UGGGGACCACCCUGUGUUUACUCUGUAUUUCGACCAGUGAACACAGCUGGUGGUAUCUCAGU